UCAAACUUGGUCAUUUAGAGGAAGUAAAAGUCGUAACAAGGUAACCGUAGGUGAACCUGCGGUUGGAUCAUUACUGAGUGCGAAAAAAGAAAUUCUUCCCCAUUGUGAACUGUUAUUAUUUCUUUGGUGGCCCAAAUACGUUGGCGCGUCUUUGUUAUAGUUACUCAGCUGAUCGAGGUCUUCCGAGUCAUCUAUAUUUUAAGAAGCGACUUCGGGCCACCUAAUUAUGUUAAAUUCCUUGUUUAAAUGUAUUUUUGUCUUAUGCGCGAUUCGCGUUAACAACAAACGAGAACAACUUUUGACAAUGGAUCUCUUGGCUCUUGCAUCGAUGAAGAACGCAGC
RNAcentral lists this unclassified non-coding RNA (342 nucleotides) under uncultured fungus. Its description in RNAcentral is "partial contains small subunit ribosomal RNA, internal transcribed spacer 1, and 5.8S ribosomal RNA". The stretch from base 1 to 73 matches the Rfam family "Eukaryotic small subunit ribosomal RNA", at positions 1759 to 1831 of the family's 1831-position model. Lineage: Eukaryota; Fungi. The record is from RNAcentral.